RNAcentral lists this ribosomal RNA (495 nucleotides) under uncultured bacterium. RNAcentral's name for it is "partial 16S ribosomal RNA". It matches the Rfam family "Bacterial small subunit ribosomal RNA", at positions 28 to 507 of the family's 1533-position model. The record is from RNAcentral.
GACGAACGCUGGCGGCGUGCCUAAUACAUGCAAGUAGAACGCUGAAGGAGGAGCUUGCUUCUCUGGAUGAGUUGCGAACGGGUGAGUAACGCGUAGGUAACCUGCCUGGUAGCGGGGGAUAACUAUUGGAAACGAUAGCUAAUACCGCAUACUAGUAGAUGUUGCAUGACAUUUGCUUAUAAGGUGCAAUUGCAUCACUACCAGCUGGACCUGCGUUGUAUUAGCUAGUUGGUGGGGUAACGGCUCACCAAGGCGACGAUACAUAGCCGACCUGAGAGGGUGAUCGGCCACCCUGGGACUGAGACACGGCCCAGACGCCUACGGGAGGCAGCAGUAGGGAAUCUUCAGCAAUGGACGGAAGUCUGACCGAGCAACGCCGCGUGAGUGAAGAAGGUUUUCGGAUCGUAAAGCUCUGUUGUAAGAGAAGAACGAGUGUGAGAGUGGAAAGUUCACACUGUGACGGUAUCUUAACAGAAAGGGACGGCUAACUACGUG